UGAGGAAUAUUGGUCAAUGGGCGGGAGCCUGAACCAGCCAUCCCGCGUGCAGGAAGACGGCCCUAUGGGUUGUAAACUGCUUUUGUGCAGGAAGAACGCUCUUUACGUGUAGAGAGGUGACGGUACUGCAUGAAUAAGCACCGGCUAACUCCGUGCCAGCAGCCGCGGUAAUACGUAGGGUCCGAGCGUUAUCCGGAAUUACUGGGCGUAAAGAGUUCGUAGGCGGAUUUUUAAGUCAGAUGUUAAAUAUACAGGCUCAACUUGUAUGCUGCAUCUGAUACUGGGAGUCUUGAGAGUGGAAGAGGUAAGCGGAAUUUCCGGUGGAGCGGUUAAAUGCGUAGAUAUCGGAAAGAACACCAAUGGCGAAGGCAGCUUACUGGGCCAUUUCUGACGCUGAGGAACGAAAGCGUGGGGAGCGAUCGGG
RNAcentral lists this ribosomal RNA (424 nucleotides) under uncultured bacterium. RNAcentral's name for it is "bacterial SSU rRNA". It matches the Rfam family "Bacterial small subunit ribosomal RNA", at positions 355 to 776 of the family's 1533-position model. The record is from RNAcentral.